Maylandia zebra (zebra mbuna) is the source of this 349-nucleotide long non-coding RNA. RefSeq lists it as uncharacterized. Lineage: Eukaryota; Metazoa; Chordata; Actinopteri; Cichliformes; Cichlidae. The record is from RefSeq and is a predicted model, not a curated record.
UGUGUAGCCACUCUGUGCCUGGUGGACUUGGCUGGCAGUGAGCGAAUGGUGAAGAGCCAGUCUCAGGGUGACCGUUUCAAAGAGAUGACCGCCAUCAACAGCUCACUGUCCAACCUGGGCGUCGUUAUCGCCGCUCUGGCCAAAAAGGAGACUUACGUAGCUUACAGGAACUCGAAGCUCACGUACCUCCUUCAGGGAUGUUUGGGGGGGAAACGGCAAAACCUUGAUGUUUGUUAACAUUGCUCCGGAGCCCGACAGCUUUGGGGAAACUCUGAACUCAUUGAGGUUUGCCAGCAAGGUGAACGACUGCGUCAUCAGGACAGCGACUGCCAACAAAAAGUAGAAUUAU